Molecule: ribosomal RNA, 962 nt
Filed under: Anthocephalum michaeli
Lineage: Eukaryota; Metazoa; Platyhelminthes; Cestoda; Rhinebothriidea; Anthocephaliidae
Description: partial 28S ribosomal RNA
Rfam family: Eukaryotic large subunit ribosomal RNA (bases 567-962)
Source: RNAcentral
AAACGGGUGGCGUCAAGCUGCGCACCGGGAGAAUUCAGUCGGCUAGGAUGUUGUGUAUGCGCUUGCGCAUCUAUCAGUCAGGGUAAGAUUGGACGGUCCACUGGGAUACGGUGGGCCCUGCCGCAAGGUGGGGAUUUGUGUACCGGGUGGAAGCCGGAGCAUGCCGUUCGUCUGUUGGACUGCCUAGCCGGUGCACUUUCUCUGUUGGUGGACACCACGACCGGUGGAACUGCCAGUCUGCUAUGGUCAAGUCGUAUUCGGUGCGUCCUUGUGGCAAACUGGGUGCGAUCACGGGCAAAUUCGGUGUACGGCGUGGGUGUAUCUUUCGAGGUGCGCUCACGUGUUAUCGGCCACUGGUUGUCUUAACGGGCCUGCCUAGCGAUUGUUAUAGCCGUCGUUGGGUGGUCUGGUGGACUAUAGCGGUAAGCAUAACUGUGCAGGGCACUGGAGUGUUCGGCCUCAAAUGCAGUCUACAUGCACGCUAUAAGUGUGUGGCUGGGUAUCGUGUCAGCCUGCCUGUCGUCGGGUCUGACUGUCGUGUUGCCUGCGAAAAGUGGGUCCGGCAGUGGCUUGAUGUGGGUUGGAGUUGUGCGCGGUGCCUGCGGUGUAGGCUGUGGUGGGCCAGACAGUCAGUGGUGUAGUGGUAGACGAGCUACCCGACCCGUCUUGAAACACGGACCAAGGAGUUCAACAUGUAUGCAAGUCAAAGGGUCCUACGAAACCCCAAGGCGCAGUGAAAGUGAAGCUGCGGCACCCUCGUGGUGUCGUAGUGAGGUGAGAUUCUGUCGUUACUCGCAUCACCUGCCAGCAGCAGGCAUCAAGAGCGGCAGACGCAUCACCGGCCCGUCCCAUGGUGUGGUUGCUGGAAAAGGCUGCAGGUGGUCUCCGCUUGUAGUACUGCCAGUACGUCAUCGGGGCGGAGCAUGAGCAUACACGUUGAGACCCGAAAGAUGGUGAACUAU